GAUGAAGAACGUAGUGAAAUGCGAUAAGUAAUGCGAAUUGCAGAAUUUCCGUGAGUCAUCGAAUCUUUGAACGCACAUUGCGCCCACUGGUAUUCCAUGGGGCAUGCCUGUUCGAGCGUCAUUUGUACCUUCAAGCUUUGCUUGGUGUUGGGUGUUUGUCCUGAGGGACUCGCCUUAAAGUAAUUGGCAGCCAGUGUUUUGGUUUUGAAGCGCAGCACAAGUCGCGAUUCAAGGCUAUACGCCAGCUUCCACAAGCCUUUUUCACUUUUGACCUCGGAUCAGGUAGGGAUACCCGCUGAACUUAAGCAUAUCAAUAAGCGGAGGA
This 325-nucleotide unclassified non-coding RNA is filed under the name soil metagenome. Its description in RNAcentral is "partial contains 5.8S ribosomal RNA, internal transcribed spacer 2, and large subunit ribosomal RNA". The stretch from base 1 to 121 matches the Rfam family "5.8S ribosomal RNA", at positions 35 to 154 of the family's 154-position model. The record is from RNAcentral.